Molecule: ribosomal RNA, 253 nt
Filed under: uncultured bacterium
Lineage: Bacteria
Description: partial 16S ribosomal RNA
Rfam family: Bacterial small subunit ribosomal RNA
Source: RNAcentral
UACGUAGGGUGCAAGCGUUAAUCGGAAUUACUGGGCGUAAAGCGUGCGCAGGCGGUUUUGUAAGUCUGGUGUGAAAUCCCCGGGCUCAACCUGGGAAUUGCGAUGGAGACUGCAAGGCUAGAAUCUGGCAGAGGGGGGUAGAAUUCCACGUGUAGCAGUGAAAUGCGUAGAGAUGUGGAGGAACACCGAUGGCGAAGGCAGCCCCCUGGGUCAAGAUUGACGCUCAUGCACGAAAGCGUGGGGAGCAAACAGG